CUUUACUUCUUUUAUCACUGGACAAGUGUAUACAUAUAUUUAAGCUCUUUUUUUCCCUACUCAUUACGAGAUUCACCUUUUGACAACUACCACUCCACAAAGAGGUUUUUCUCAAGAGGUAAAGAGUUAAAUUUCUCUAAAUCUACUCCCUGGGAUGAAGAAACUAACACUCAGAGAAGAGCUUGUACAAAGUAACAAACCUCAUGAAUGACAUCUAGAUUUAUAUCCAAUUUCUCAAAGGUCUUUCUCAGAUUCUGAGUGUCUCCUGCUGGGCAGUUAUGGCCUAUGACUGGUACAAGGCCAUCAGCAGCCCUUUGCUCUAUGUGGUCAGCAUGUCCAGCAGGGUGUGCUCCCUGCUCCUGGCUGGGGUUUAUCUGUCACUUAACUGUGCUCCAGACCGUAUCUGCUUUACUUACCCCUGUAAAUCCCACACCCAGCACAAACAAGACUCAACAAAUUUGUGGCUGAAGAGGCAGGAACAUACCCUGUCCUCAAGGAGAUGAAGCCGAGCAAGAUGGGAGCCUGAUGAUAACCCUGUGUGAUGAGGAGGCCCCAGGAGGACCUGUGUGGCUGUGGGGUGGGGUGGGGGGCAUUGGCAGAACCCCUGAUGAGCUCCUGGGGAUGGAGAAAGUGGCAGGAAGGAGGGGGUCUGUUCCUUGUGGGGUGUCCACAGAUUGUACCUCACCCUUUACUGAUGAGCACUUAGGCCAUUUUCAAACACGUGUCACUGUUCUGGAGGAAACAAUCAUUGCCCAGCUCCUACUCAAUCAAUUUCGUAGAUAUGUCUCUAGCAUUGGAGUAUAAACGUCUGCUUUAUUCAUUCCAUGCUCUGUUCAUCCACCCAUCCAGCCAGCCAUCUGUUCAUCCAUCCAUCCACUCACUAAUCAAUCCAUCCAUCCACUCUUAAUUCAUCCGAUCAUCUCAGACCCAUUGAGAAGACAGACGCCUCCUCCGCUCCUGCUCCCAGGAGGACACCCAGUGUGAGUGACAGGAGCCUCGUGGGGAUAAGGGGGGGAGACACAGAAGGGACAUGCCUGCAG
Molecule: long non-coding RNA, 1040 nt
Organism: Bos taurus (domestic cattle)
Lineage: Eukaryota; Metazoa; Chordata; Mammalia; Artiodactyla; Bovidae
Source: Ensembl